RNAcentral lists this unclassified non-coding RNA (738 nucleotides) under Hevea brasiliensis (rubber tree). Lineage: Eukaryota; Viridiplantae; Streptophyta; Magnoliopsida; Malpighiales; Euphorbiaceae. The record is from RNAcentral.
AAAAGAAAUGGUAAGAAAAGGUCACUGAAAAGGAAGGAUGAUUCAGUCGAUGAUGGAUCAGGUUCAGAUUCAAGAGAGAAGAAGAGGGGGAGGUCAAAAAGGAGGAGCAGAAGAGAUUCCAAUGAUUCAGAUGACAGCAGAAGGAAGAGGAGAAAGGAGAAGCACAGGAAAAGAGACGAUUCAUCAGAUGAGGGUGAAAAACAUAGGCGACAUCAUAGGAAGAGUAGAAAAGAGAAAAGAAGAAGAAGAAGCCAUAGAUGUUCCGAUGACUCGGAUUCUGAUACAUCUGAGGGAACUCGUGGAAGGCACAAACACAAGAGUAGGAAGGCUGCAUCGUUAACUGAUUCUGAAGCUAGCAGCUCUGAUGAUACAAGGGGCAGGGCGAGGAAGCGCUCUGAAAAGAGAAGCAGGAAACAUCGUUAUGAGGAUGAAUAGACCAAGCAUAACAGUGGGAGAAAGAUGGAUAUCGUGAUCCUUUCUGGUAGCUUGGAUUUACCAUUAAUAAACCCAGCUAUGGUUGGCUCUAGACACGACCACGGCUGAAAUUUAUUGUGGUAUUGCAUUCAUAUAUAAGCUGUAUUUUGUUGUGUGCCUUCUCAUUGUGUACAUUAUGCUUAUUUCAAAUCAAAAUGUGAAAAAAAAGAUAUUAUGAAAACACUAGAUAGUUCGGGAGGCUGAAAGGAACAGAAUUUCUUUCCAAACGCGCAUGGCUCUAUGUUGACAUUCUCUGAAUUCUGA